CUGUAAGGAGUCCCCGCGGAAACCCUUCCCCGGCACUUUGGUUCCGGGCGGAACGUUGGACUCUGCGAAAGGCCGGUCUCAGAAGUAAUGAGAGCAUAUCUACCCACAUGUCUAAUGAAGAGUAUAACUGAAUGGGGCCUCCUCCUGUGAAUAAUAACUGUGGACAGUAUAACUGAAAUAUGUCCCCUGUCCCAUAUCUUUCCAAUUAAAUCAAAAA
Molecule: non-coding RNA, 217 nt
Organism: Anolis sagrei ordinatus
Lineage: Eukaryota; Metazoa; Chordata; Lepidosauria; Squamata; Anolidae
Source: RefSeq, a predicted model, not a curated record